GAUGAACGCUGGCGGCGUGCCUAAUACAUGCAAGUCGAGCGAACAGACGAGGAGCUUUCUCCUCUUACGUUAGCGGCGGACAGGUGAGUAACACGUGGAUAACCUACCUAUAAGACUGGGAUAACUUCGGGAAACCGGAGCUAAUACCGCAUAAUAUAUUUAACCGCAUGGUUCAAUAGUGAAAGACGGUUUUGCUGUCACUUAUAGAUGGAUCCGCGCCGCAUUAUCUAGUUGGUGAGGUAACGGCUUACCAAGGCAACGAUGCGUAGCCGACCUGAGAGGGUAAUCGGCCACACUGGAACUGAGACACGGUCCAGCCUCCUACGGGAGGCAGAGGUAGGGAAUCUUCCGCAAUGAGCGAAAGCCUGACGGAGCAACGCCGGGUGAGUGAUGAAGGUCUUCGGAUCGUAAAACUCUGUUAUUAGGGAAGAACAAAUGUGUAAGUAACUAUGCACGUAUUGACGGUACCUAAUCAGAAAGCCACGGCUAACUACGUG
This 497-nucleotide ribosomal RNA is filed under the name uncultured bacterium. Its description in RNAcentral is "partial 16S ribosomal RNA". It matches the Rfam family "Bacterial small subunit ribosomal RNA", at positions 28 to 507 of the family's 1533-position model. The record is from RNAcentral.